This 375-nucleotide ribosomal RNA is filed under the name uncultured eukaryote. RNAcentral describes it as "SSU rRNA". It matches the Rfam family "Eukaryotic small subunit ribosomal RNA", at positions 587 to 969 of the family's 1831-position model. The record is from RNAcentral.
AGCUCUGUAAGCGUAUACCAAAGUUGUUGCAGUUAAAACGCUCGUAGUCGGAUUUUGGCGUGCGACCGCGGGACGUCCGUGAGGACGGAUCUACGGCGUGCGCCUUUGUGGAGGGGGGCCUAGUGGUGCUUUAGUGCAUUGCUAGGUCGCCGCCACCGUUUACUGUGAAAAAAUUAGAGUGUUCAAAGCGGGCGUUUGCCGUGAAUAUAUUAGCAUGGAAUAAUAGAAUAGGACCUAGGUCUUAUUUUGUUGGUUUGUUGAGAUCGGGUAAUGAUUAAGAGGGACGGUUGGGGGCAUUUGUAUUCCGACGUCAGAGGUGAAAUUCUUGGAUUGUCGGAAGACAAACAGCUGCGAAAGCGUCUGCCAAGGACGUUU